This 501-nucleotide ribosomal RNA is filed under the name uncultured bacterium. Its description in RNAcentral is "bacterial SSU rRNA". It matches the Rfam family "Bacterial small subunit ribosomal RNA", at positions 8 to 518 of the family's 1533-position model. The record is from RNAcentral.
AGAGUUUGAUCCUGGCUUAGGAUGAACGCUGGCGGCGUGCUUAACACAUGCAAGUCGAACGGAGUUUACAUGAAACCUAGUGAUUGUAAACUUAGUGGCGGACGGGUGAGUAACGCGUGGGUAACCUGCCUUAUACAGGGGGAUAACACUUAGAAAUAGGUGCUAAUACCGCAUAAGCGCACAGUGCUGCAUGGCACAGUGUGAAAAACUCCGGUGGUAUAAGAUGGACCCGCGUCUGAUUAGCUAGUUGGUGAGGUAACGGCCCACCAAGGCGACGAUCAGUAGCCGGCCUGAGAGGGUGAACGGCCACAUUGGGACUGAGACACGGCCCAAACUCCUACGGGAGGCAGCAGUGGGGAAUAUUGGACAAUGGGGGAAACCCUGAUCCAGCGAACCGCCGCGUGAGUGAAGAAGUAUUUCGGUAUGUAAAGCUCUAUCAGCAGGGAAGAUAAUGACGGUACCUGACUAAGAAGCCCCGGCUAACUACGUGCCAGCAGCUGC